Long non-coding RNA from Cotesia glomerata, 123 nucleotides. RefSeq lists it as uncharacterized. NCBI's taxonomy places the organism in Eukaryota, Metazoa, Arthropoda, Insecta, Hymenoptera, Braconidae. The record is from RefSeq and is a predicted model, not a curated record. The transcript has 3 exons.
GUAAAUAAAAAAAACUAUAAACAGAAUUUAUUAUUUUUAGGGCGAAUAUUAGUGUUUGAGAAAUAAAAAAAAGAGUUACACGUUCUAACCUCACAUUGUAAACAAAAGUUGUUAAUGUGUCAA